CCUACGGGAGGCAGCAGUGGGGAAUAUUGGGCAAUGGGCGCAAGCCUGACCCAGCAACGCCGCGUGAAGGAAGAAGGCUUUCGGGUUGUAAACUUCUUUUGUCAGGGAAGAGUAGAAGACGGUACCUGACGAAUAAGCCACGGCUAACUACGUGACAGCAGCCGCGGUAAUACGUAGGUGGCAAGCGUUGUCCGGAUUUACUGGGUGUAAAGGGCGUGUAGCCGGGUUGACAAGUCAGAUGUGAAAUCCUGCGGCUUAACCGCAGCACUGCAUUUGAAACUGUUGAUCUUGAGUACUGGAGAGGCAGAUGGAAUUCCUAGUGUAGCGGUGAAAUGCGUAGAUAUUAGGAGGAACACCAGUGGCGAAGGCGGUCUGCUGGACAGCAACUGACGGUGAGGCGCGAAAGCGUGGGGAGCAAACAGGAAUAGAUACCCGAGUAGUC
Molecule: ribosomal RNA, 442 nt
Filed under: uncultured bacterium
Lineage: Bacteria
Description: partial 16S ribosomal RNA
Rfam family: Bacterial small subunit ribosomal RNA
Source: RNAcentral